RNAcentral lists this ribosomal RNA (573 nucleotides) under uncultured bacterium. RNAcentral's name for it is "bacterial SSU rRNA". It matches the Rfam family "Bacterial small subunit ribosomal RNA", at positions 338 to 916 of the family's 1533-position model. The record is from RNAcentral.
CCUACGGGAGGCAGCAGUGAGGAAUAUUGGACAAUGGGCGCAAGCCUGAUCCAGCCAUGCCGCGUGCAGGAAGACGCAUCUAUGGUGUGUAAACUGCUUUUGUACGGGAAGAAACACCCCCUCGUGAGGGGGCUUGACGGUACCGUAAGAAUAAGGAUCGGCUAACUCCGUGCCAGCAGCCGCGGUAAUACGGAGGAUCCAAGCGUUAUCCGGAAUCAUUGGGUUUAAAGGGUCCGUAGGCGGUUUGGUAAGUCAGUGGUGAAAGCCCAUCGCUCAACGGUGGAACGGCCAUUGAUACUGCCAGACUUGAAUUACUAGGAAGUAACUAGAAUAUGUAGUGUAGCGGUGAAAUGCUUAGAGAUUACAUGGAAUACCAAUUGCGAAGGCAGGUUACUACUAGUGGAUUGACGCUGAUGGACGAAAGCGUGGGGAGCGAACAGGAUUAGAUACCCUGGUAGUCCACGCCGUAAACGAUGGAUACUAGCUGUUCGGGGCAACCUGAGUGGCUAAGCGAAAGUGAUAAGUAUCCACCUGGGGAGUACGUUCGCAAGAUGAAACUCAAAGAAUUGACGG